This 253-nucleotide ribosomal RNA is filed under the name uncultured bacterium. RNAcentral's name for it is "partial 16S ribosomal RNA". It matches the Rfam family "Bacterial small subunit ribosomal RNA", at positions 524 to 776 of the family's 1533-position model. The record is from RNAcentral.
UACAGAGGUCUCAAGCGUUGUUCGGAUUCAUUGGGCGUAAAGGGUGUGUAGGUGGCGCCGUAAGUCGGGUGUGAAAUUUCGGAGCUUAACUCCGAAACUGCAUUCGAUACUGCGGUGCUUGAGGACUGGAGAGGAGACUGGAAUUCAUGGUGUAGCAGUGAAAUGCGUAGAGAUCAUGAGGAAGACCAGUGGCGAAGGCGGGUCUCUGGACAGUAACUGACGCUGAGGCACGAAGGCCAGGGGAGCAAACGGG